Long non-coding RNA from Budorcas taxicolor (takin), 291 nucleotides. RefSeq lists it as uncharacterized. Lineage: Eukaryota; Metazoa; Chordata; Mammalia; Artiodactyla; Bovidae. The record is from RefSeq and is a predicted model, not a curated record. The transcript has 3 exons.
GCGCACCGGUCCAGGAGGUGACCUUGGGCUCCGGGCUGAAUCACAGAAGAAAUUAGUUCCUCCGCGAGAUGAAGCCAGAGGAGGAGAGACCGAUUAUAGAUCGCGAAAAGGCCAGUCGGAGAGUCAAGCUCGAGACCUGCCUCUUCUUGAAACUCUGUAACUGUCUCUGUUCAUACCAUGCCUCACCCUCUUCUGGAUUCCACUGAUAAUGCUGCCAGCCAACAUUAUUGAGCUUCCUAUGUGCUGAGCACUGUGUUGAAGCACUUUCUAUUCCUCUCUGUACACGCUCAU